AUCACCGCUACGUUUUAUCUCGGU
RNAcentral lists this non-coding RNA (24 nucleotides) under Arabidopsis thaliana (thale cress). Lineage: Eukaryota; Viridiplantae; Streptophyta; Magnoliopsida; Brassicales; Brassicaceae. The record is from RNAcentral.